UGUCUAGUGACUUGUUACGUGUGAUGACAUGCUGACAACACCAGCUUGAAGUGACAUCAAAUCGACUUGUUGCCAGGAAUGCCUUCAACCGCAAGAAUUCCAUCUCUUGAUUAGUCGGAUCGGAACUCGUUAAGUCACGAGGUUUUAUUAGCAUCAUUAGCCAGCUUCAAUUCCCCAAACAAAACAAAGUAGCCAGCGUUUACGCAGCGAUAUCUACACGCUCCAGGGCUGGAAAAACCUCUUAGUAAGAAUUCCAUCUAGUAUUUCUCGUCAAUCUAUUGCGAGCUUCGCAUCGGCGGCAAGGAUCUUCUGCACGACGUAGAGAAGUUCAAGUGCAUCAGAGAAAAUGACGUUCAUUUAUCAAAAUUUUAUGUUGAUGAUAUUUCUUGUCAUGGCCAGCCUUGUUUCAGGGAAUCAAACAAUUACACAUUGUAAUAGUACCUUGGGCGUGUCCAAUGGUUCU
Long non-coding RNA from Actinia tenebrosa (Australian red waratah sea anemone), 463 nucleotides. The record is from RefSeq and is a predicted model, not a curated record. NCBI's taxonomy places the organism in Eukaryota, Metazoa, Cnidaria, Anthozoa, Actiniaria, Actiniidae.